GGGCACUGUUUGUAACCUGUUGAUUUGGCUAUAGCUAAUGGGCUCCAUUCCAGUGCAACAGAAUUUCCAGGGACACAUAACUGACUGAUUGGUGGAUUUUGAUUUGGGGUCUUGGAGACAUGC
Small nucleolar RNA from Otolemur garnettii (small-eared galago), 123 nucleotides. The record is from Ensembl. Lineage: Eukaryota; Metazoa; Chordata; Mammalia; Primates; Galagidae.